UACGUAGGGGGCUAGCGUUGUCCGGAAUCAUUGGGCGUAAAGAGCGUGUAGGCGGCCCGGUAAGUCCGCUGUGAAAGUCCAGGACUCAACCCUGGGAUGCCGGUGGAUACUGUCGGGCUCGAGUCCGGAAGAGGAGUGUGGAAUUCCUGGUGUAGCGGUGAAAUGCGCAGAUAUCAGGAAGAACACCCGUGGCGAAGGCGGCUCUCUGGGACGGUACUGACGCUGAGACGCGAAAGCGUGGGGAGCGAACAGG
RNAcentral lists this ribosomal RNA (253 nucleotides) under uncultured bacterium. RNAcentral describes it as "partial 16S ribosomal RNA". It matches the Rfam family "Bacterial small subunit ribosomal RNA", at positions 524 to 776 of the family's 1533-position model. The record is from RNAcentral.